CCGUGCUAGGUGGGGAGCCAGCGGUGCCCUGAACCCGCAAUCCGCUAUAGCGGGACCGAAAGCCCGGAGAGGCAUCGUCUGUUGCUGUCGGGUCGGGGCAAGCGGUGUCGAUGAACAGGACCUGCGCGGUGGCAGGCCGUCGAACCCCGUCAGGACCGGAAGGUAGCAGCGGUAGGCGAGCCGUGCCGGGCGACGCAGAGAGACCUGUUCUGAGCUGGCUGCUUCGUCCCGCGGUAUCAGACAUGUCGAACCGGGUCGUACGG
This 263-nucleotide signal recognition particle RNA is filed under the name Candidatus Fermentibacterota bacterium. RNAcentral describes it as "signal recognition particle sRNA large type". It matches the Rfam family "Bacterial large signal recognition particle RNA". Rfam says of the family: The signal recognition particle (SRP) is a universally conserved ribonucleoprotein involved in the co-translational targeting of proteins to membranes. Archaeal SRP consists of a 7S RNA and homologues of the eukaryotic SRP19 and SRP54 proteins. Lineage: Bacteria; Pseudomonadati; Candidatus Fermentibacterota. The record is from RNAcentral.